CUGAACGGCCAAUGAGGACGCGCCUUACAGCUAACACCGGGUCGGGAGCGAGGCUGCAGCGAGUGCGGCGCUGACAGGGACGCGCGCGCGAUCCAGCUCGGACCCCAGGCCAACGCCGCCAUCACCGCUGCCCACCCAGUCCCCCCCUCCGCCGGUUUCCCUCGCCAUGGAGGCGAGGCCGCCGCCGCCGCCGCGGGGCUCCGGGCCGUGGGCCGGGCGGCGGCCCUGAGGGCGAGUGGCGGGCCGAGACGCAGCCGCAGAACCCAGGCGGAGGCGCCGUCCUAGUCCCCAGUGGUCCCGCCCAACGCCCGACUUGGUGAGUGUUGUCGCCGCCGCCCGGGUGGGCUCCGGAAGCGGGGGCGGCUUCGGGUGCGGGUGGGAGGGGUCCCCGGAUCCUCCUUUUCCCGGUAGAAUCCCUCCGGCUUCUGUAGUCGGAUCCGGCAUCCCUGCGCAGUGGGGAGGGGGAGGGGGGUCCCCGGAAACGUGCAGGACUGGGCACCGACCCCUCUCGACUGCCCUGGAACUUUGCGUGCGUCCUUCUAGCGCCAGGCCAGGGCACUGUCGUAGUUCAUUCUGUAAGAGGAAACUUAGAACAGCGAGAACAGCAUUUGCUCUAGUUCAUUUAAUAGGAAGAAAGGAAAACUCCGGACAGGAGAAAAUUUUGCUCUUGCAGUGACCAACUUUUCUUUUCCUUAAAGCCCCGUGCCCUUCCCGGCCGCCGCCCGUCUCCCAGGCUCCCCUCUCUGCUGCCUACUCCCAACUGUUGAGGAUGCUUAGGAAGGUAAAAUAGGGACUCAGAGCUGCUCAGAAUUCAUAGUGAGCCACUUGAGAAUACACAUCCCCUCCCUUUUUAUUUCCGGGAAAUUAAAAAUUCUUUAAAAAAAUUCUAAUAUAUUUCUUGAAAAUAAAAAUUGUAAUGGCAGAAUUGAACCUAAUGUUGAGGUUUUGUGUGUGUGUGUAGUGUGUGUGUGUAUUUUGUCAGUGAUGAUAUUGUGAGAUAGGAAAACAGGAAUAUUCAGAUCCUUUUAGGCAGAGUAAAUGUCUUCAAAAGCCUUUGCCCAGAAUAGGGAUUCCUGCUCUCAACCAGUCAUAUCUCCCCAGAGAUGGUUUUACUUGCCACCUGCUAGCUGUUGAGGCAGCCAGAGAACCAGAAGAUGGUGGGUGAGAGGAGGACUGAGUAGGAAAGGCCGAGCAUCUUCCUGCCUGGCCACUCCUUUCAAAAACACAGAUCUGAUGCUGUCACUUGUUUACUUAAAACCUCCUUCUCUUUCUUUUUCCCAUGGGAUGAAUGAAGCCCAAAAUACCUUAUCAGGUCAACCAAGGCCCUUGACACUCUUGCCUCAACUUACAUUUUUACUUUAGACUAAUCUCUCAGUUCUCCUUUCCUUCAUUCCCUCCCUGGCUAUUCAGAGCUUUUUGACCACUUCUAAUGUUGGGAGAUUUUUAUUUUCUUUGAUCCUCUUCCACCUGUCCCUGCUAAGCUCCAUGUGUUUCUUUAAAACUCCCCUCUCACUCACUCCCCCUUAUCCCCCUCUUCUCACUCUCUCUCAAACUCCGGGGAGGGCUGGGGUUGUAGCUCAGUGGUUGAGCGCUUGCCUUUCACGUGUGAGGCACUGGGUUCAAUCUUCAGCACCACAUACAAUAAAUAAAGAUAUUGUGUUUAUCUACAACUAAAAAAAAUGUAUAUCCUGCCCCCCCCCCUUUUAAAUUUUGAAACAGGGUCUUGCUAAGUUGCUGAGGGUCUUGCUAAAUUGCUAAGACUGUUCUCAAACUUGUGAUCCUCCUGUCUCAGCCUUCUAAACCGCUAGAAUUACAGGCAUGCUUCAUCCUGCCUAGCUAGCUCUUUUCAUUUGAGAAGCUUCUUAAGGGCAGGAGCUGUGUCUUGUUCACUUUUUCUUGUUGGGAAAAUUCUUUCCUGUUGUCUCCUAGAUCCUUUCCCAAAACCCAAGAUAAUUUUUCACUUGUGUUUCCUGAAGGCCUGCUUGGAGUGCAUGCCCAGGACUUUUACCACAUCUGAUUUCUUAUCUUCUCAUGUCCAUCCUACCCAGACCCCAUAAAUAUUCAUCAGUCAAGAAUCGGCACUUCCCACAUCCCACUGACUUCCAAUCUGCUUGACUAAAAGGCCAAAAGCCACUCAUUUUUCACCUCUGUCUGCCUAAAGUGAUCUUACUCAUGUGUAUUGAUGGGUACCAUCAAUGAUCCCCAUUGGCUAUUCACUGUAUACCUUGUAGCCACUUAUUUAGCAUGUGGAUGAAAUACUGAACCAGAAAAGCAAACCCUCUUACCUAACUAUAUUCCUGGGCCUUCUAUUUGCAAGGCUUAGUGCUUGGGAUACAAAAUGAAAGUGAUGAAGUCAUGCCCUUACCUUGAAGGAGUUCACUCUAGGGCAGGGCAGGGAGAUGUUAAUAAAUAAUGGCGUUACAGAUAUUACUAGAAUGUAACAAUAAUCUGUUGUUUUUUUACUUGCCUGUGACAGGGUUUACGUGAAUUCUCUCAUUUAAUUCUUUCAGUGUUGGAAACUGAGGCCUUACAGUUGAAGGUAUAGUCAGAUAAAGUUAUAGUCAGGAUUUGAAUCUUGAUAGUCUAGUUCCAGAACCUCUGCCAGGUUGUGCAGGGGACAUUCCCUCUUUCCUUAGGUGGGAAAACUUUCUUGGGAUGGGCCUUUAGUCCUGAAGGGUGCAUAGAAGUUUGUGCAUGGUGGACCGUGCACACAUAGGAAAGAGAGCAGCACCAGCAGGCUUGGAGGGAGAAGGACUUACUGUCCUUGGGAACUGGGAAGAGGUUAAACAGGUGAUUGGGUAAAGUUAAGAGGGUUGGAAGAUGAGAUUAGGGUCAGCUUGAAGUAUAUGUAGUGUGUUUAAGUUUAAGCACUGGAAGAGUCACUGAAGGAAGAAUUUAAAGGCAGUCAGGGACUUUGAGUGGGCUUUGUAAAGGUCACUUGGGCACAUUUGAGGCUAAUGCUGAUACCUGUGCAAUUUAGGAGGCAGUGACCAGACCCUACCCAGGUAAAAUCAUAUCCUUUUAGACCCAAAGGAAGGUAUAAAGAGAAUUCUGCUCAGUUUUGGGAAAAGAUAUUUAAUGAGUAUGAGAGAGAAAUUCCAGCAGUAUGAAAGGGUAUUUAGAGAAACAAAUUGCCCCAAGUCUCUUGUCUCCUAACCUCUUCUCCAGGGAUGGCUGAAGUUUCCAGUUUGUGACCCUUCUAUAAACACUGUUCCUUUAUAAUGCUUCAACAUAGAACAGAUUCCACCAUGAUACAGACCAGUCACACCUUUUAAAAAAUUAACAUAUUUAGGGCUGGGGAUAUGGCCCAAUGGUAGAUGCUUGAGGCCUUGGGCUUGAUCCUCAGCACCGGAAAAAACAAAAACAAAGCAUAUUUAGGAAAUUAUUUCAAAUCAGUACCUAUAGAAUUGUUCAUUCUUUGUAUUGACAUUACCUUAUUUUAAUGUAUGACUGUGUAUUUGCACAUGUAGCUUUAUGUAUUUAUAAGUAGUCUUCAUGUUAAACAUUUGUUUCCAUAUUUUUCUCUUACAGCAGUGCAAUACAAAGUACAUAUUUUGUUAUGAGCUCAUGUAUAAAAUUUUCUGAACAGAAUGCUUUUAGAAGUGGAACUACUUGGUCAAAAGAUGUGUCCAUUUUUUAAUUUUAAACGUGGUCAAAUUACCACUUUUUGAGGUAAUUCUACCAAUUUAUUCUCUCCCCCAAAAUGUGAGUGUGUCUCAAUGGAUUGUCAUCAGAAUAUCUAGCAGGAUCACCUGGAUACUUUUUCAACUUCCACAUACCUACCCUUCUCUUAGCAGCCACUGGCACUCAUGUCAUUCUAGCCUAUUUCUUUUAUUUAUUUAUUUAAGGCAGCGUAAUGCAUUACAAUAAUACACAUAUAGAGCACAAUUUUUCAUGGUUGUAUACAAAGUAUAUUCAUACCAAUUCAUAUCUUCAUACAUGUACUUUGGAUAAUAAUGAUCAUCACGUUCCACCAUCAUUUCUAACCCCAUGCCCCCUCCCUUUACCUCCAACUCCUCUGCCCUCUCUAGAGUUCGUCUAUUCCUUCCAAGCUCCCUCUCCCUAUUCUAGCCUAUUUCUUUUAAUUUACUGAGGGCCACAUUGAGGCUCAGAAAGAUCAGAGUGACUUGUACAGGAAAAGCAGUGUUGUGUGGUGAUGGCUUAUGUUUUGCAGCUCUGAUAUUUGUGUAUGACCAUUAUCUUUCUGGAGGCACUUAGCAAUUUGUAAACAUUGUUGCAUUAUUUUUCUUUAUGUGAAAAAAAUGAAUGCAGGUAAAGUUGAGUUAAUAGCUGGGAAGUUGGCCAGAUAUAGAAUCUUGUUUUUUCAGUUCCAGCAUAGUAACUAGUAAAUGUUUUCAAAUGCUAAAGGGAAGAAAUUUUUUUUUGUGUGUGUGUGUAUAAAUGCAACAAAAAUAGCAAUAAUAUAAUACAAAGUUAAUAAAGCUGAGCAGAAACUCACAAAUAACCCAGUGUUAAAAUUUGUUUUAAUAUAUUUUCUACUGAAAAGAUAAUCCAUUAAGUAUAAAAUUAUAUUUACUCUAAAUUUAUCUGUUUGUGUCCGUGUACAUUGAUUUUUUUAGUUGUAGUCAGUACAUACAGAUAAUUUUUGAAUUGUUGAAUAGCAUAAAAUAUUUUAUAUUUACUCAUUUAUAUAUCUUUAUUGUUUUAAAAUUAUAGUAUUGCAUGCAUCAACAGCUGUAGUUUGUACAAUCUUUAUUUUUUCCUUUUUUACCGUUAUAAUUGGUACUUUUAUAAACCUGAGUGCCCUUGUUCAAAUACUUCUUUUUUUUUUUUUUGGAUUAUUUUCUUGGACCCUUACCCCUCCAGUAUGCUCACUGUAUCAGAGGAAUAUUUUAUUGCUGAAUUGUUACCUUUAAAGGUUGAACUACUUUACAACACUGUCAGCAAUUUUAUAUGGCCCUGAUUCUUGACAACACAGCCAGUGCUAUCACAAACAAAAACCUAAUAUUUAAUUAUUUUAUUAAUUUAAAAGAAAUGUUGAUUGAGAAAAGUUUAAUUUUCUUUUCUUUUUUUUUCCCCAGUACUGAAGAUCAGACCUAGGACCUUGUACAUCUUAGGCAAGUGUUCUACCACUGGGCUAUAUUCCCAACCCUUUAUUUAAAAAAAAAAAAAAAAAAAAAAAAUAUAUAUAUAUAUAUAUAUAUAUAUAUAUAUAUUUAUUUAUUUAGUUGUUGAUAGACCUUUAUUUUAUUUAUUUAUAUGUUGUGCUGAGAAUCGAACCCAGUGCCUCAUACAUGCCAGAUAAGCCCUUCUGCUCAGCCCCAGCCCCCUCAACCCUUUUUAAAUUGAUUUUGAGACAGGGUCUUGCUAAGUUGCCAGACUGGCCUUGAACUUAUGAUCCUCCUACCUCAGCCUAUAGCUGGGAGAGAUUAUAGAUAUAAUUUACAUUUACUGAAUGAGACAGAUAUUAGGAAAAUAUAGAAUGGGAUCAUAUUGGCAUAAAAUGUAAGACUAGAUGCUGUUCUGUUGAAUAUACCAGGCAUUGUGCUAGGAGGAGGAGAUACCCCAGAGUAACAUGGAUAUGAUUUCUGUCCUCAUGGCACUUAAGGGUUAGUGCAGUAGACAGAAAUUAAUCACUUUGUGGUAAUUAUGGAUGUGGUAGAUGUAAUCAGAAGAGAAGAAUAAGGUGUCUAGGGAGUGCCAGAGAAGUUCAACAGUUAAGCAACAUUUGCAAAAGCCCUGAGCUGGGAAGGGAUUUGGUAGCUCAGGGCAGCGCUUCUCUUACUUGAAUGUGCACAUGAACCAUCUGGGCAUCUUGUUAAAAUGCCAAGUCCUGAUUCAGUAGAUCCGGGUGGGACUUGGGAUUCUGCAUUGCUAACCACCUCCUGGGUGAGGCGGAUGCUGCUGGUGGGUGGAUCACACUUGGUGGAGCAAGGCCUAAUUGAGAGGUUGGUGAGCACCUGAAACUGACUGAUCAUGGUGAGCAGGAAGUGGCAGGUGGCUUGCUGUGACACUGGAGCCAUAAUUCUCUGCCCUGACUGUGCUUUUAAAUUAACCAGGGUUAAUUUAAAAAAAGAAAAAAACCUGAUCGUUUUUAUUUAAUUGGCCAUAGAUAGGGCCUGAGAAUGUGUGUAUAUAUUUUAAUUUUGCAGGUGAUUCUAAUGUGUCAGGGUUGAGAGCCACUGGACUGGAGAGAGGCAGAAGUCAGAUUUUGGACUUUAUGUUGAAGGCAAAGCUAAGCCACUGAAGGAUUUUAAGCAGGAGAUCGAGCCUGUCUGAUCUGCAAUUGUAAAAAUUCACUAUGGCUGCAAUCUAGAGCAGUAGUUUUCAGAGAGGUGGAUAUGACAGUUUACUGAGGUGCUGGAAGAAAUUUUGAAUUUUCAUUCAUUUUUGUCUAAAAAAAUAAAAUAAAACAUUUAAUUUAGGGAUUGUCAUUGGCGUAUUCUUGAGUGUGUAGAUUACAUAAUGUUAGUGUUAAUGUUCAAGUACAGAAUUUUGGGUGUCCUGAAGGAAGAGAGGGAGUUCUUCAGUGAGCAUAGUUAUACUCAUCCAUUCAGUGGAUUGCAGUUUUUUGUUUUGUUUUGUUUGGUUUUUAUAGUACUGUUGGACCCCUGGCCUUGUACAUGCUAGGCACACACUCAAUCAUUGAGCCAUAUCCCCAACCCAUUUUAUUUUAUUUAUUUUUGUCAUACUGGGCAUUGAACCUAGGGCCUCACACACACUGAGCUAUAUCUCUAGUCCUUUAUUUUGAGACAGAGUCUCAUGAAGUUGCCCAUGCUGGCUUUAAAGAGAUUGUACAUUCCUUUGAUUUAUAUCUGUAUGCCUUCAUCUAUCCCAAUAAAUCUUAAAUUUGGUCUUUUCAUGUUAUCUAAUAAUUCUUGGAAGUUCUGUUCAUGAUUUCUUAACAUCAUCUCUCUGUGGUCAACUCUAUUUUCAAAAUUAUAUAUUUUGUCUGCAUUGCCUGAGGUUCUGUCUUCCAAUUGGUUUAGUCUGUUGGUGAUGCUUUCUAUUGAAUUUUUAAUUUGGUUUAUUGUUUCCUUCAUUUUAAGGAUUUCUGCUUGUUUUUUUCCCCUGCAGAAUCUCUGCCUCUUUAUUGAAGUGAUCUUUCACUUCCUGUAUUUUCUCUGUGAUUUCAUUCCCUAUACUGUUCUUUACUUUGCAGAUCAAUUUAACUGUGUACAUUCUAAACUCCUUCUCUGACAUUGCUUCCACUUUGAUGUCAAUGGAUUCUGUUAUUGGAGUAUCUUGGUUUGUUUGGGACAAUUUGUUUCCUUUUUCAUGUUGUUUGUGUGUCUACCCAUCUAACAGUGUGGAUCUGAGACAGUAAAGUUUCUACCCUGUGGACUUAAGUGUCCCUGAAUGUUUCCAGUACUUCACUUAUGGAGAAGCUGCCUAUCUGCUUUCUUGGUUUCAUGGCAUGGCACAGAGCAGCCAGAAACUCAACCUCCUCUAUUCCGCCAUCUUGUAAAACCUCCCCAGGCUGGCUUUGAACUUGUGAUCCUCCUCCCUCAGCUUCCCCAGUAGUUGGGUAUACAAGUAUAUACUAUGACAUCCACUUGCAACAUAUUGUUAUUUAUUUUAUUCACUUUUCAUUAAACUAACCUGCAAAGGUUUCAAAAUGGAUUUGCAAAGAAACCAAUGAUUGAAGAAAGAACUGAUAAUGCAAGCACAAGCAAACAAAUAAGAUGGCAGACCUGAUAUUAGUCUUCUAUUAUGAACUCUUGACUAACUAUUAAAUUACAUUAAAGAAAUGAACUCAUUAAUAUGGAGAAUAGAAGCUUUUAUGAAAUAUGGAUUUAUAAGAAGCUUUUAUGAAAUAUGGAUUUAUAGCCUUCGUUAUUAAUAGGAAUCUUUCAUCAAAACAACCUUGAGAUGGUAAUUAAUAAAAUAGAGGGCUAUCACCAGUACCAAGGCAUUUGAAAACUUAACAUCUGGAAUAUAAAGAGUUGCCCACGCCUUUUCCCAGUGUUGAAGAUGCUAAGGAUGUGCUAUACCACUGAGCCACACCUCAGCUCCUACUGUUUUUGGUGCCAGGGAAUAGACCCAGAUGCACUUAACCACUGAGCCAGAUCCCCAGCCUGUUUUUGUGUUUUAUUUUGAGACAGGGUCUCAUUAAGUUGUUAAGGCUGACUUUGAACUUGUGAUCCUCCUACCCCAGCUUCCUGGGCCACUACUUAGCUCAUAAUCCAAUGUGCCUGGAUACUUUUUUUUUUUUUUAAAUGAUGUUUAAAGUUAUAAGCUAUUCAAUCAAGUGCUUUGCAGAAUUUCUGGUUCUUAUGAAAGACAAAAAGGCACAUACCAUUAGCAGGUUCUUCUCUUACCCCCCAGGCCCACUUAAACAAACAAGAUUGAUUUAUUUUAUUUUAUUUUAUUUUUUUUACUAACAAAGAAACUCUUUCCUUUAUUGUAAGAAAAUAAACUUUCAGAAGCUAAAGCUAGCUUUUCAGUUGUGCAAAAUACUAACACUUUAAGCAGAAAGUCUUUAUUUUUAAGAGAAAGUAACAUUUUUCUAUACUUGACCUAUAUUUUAAUUCUUUCCAGUAGAACCAAAACCUCCUGAACCCCUUUCAGUGUCAUUCAACACUUGAACUUCUUCUAUAUCUGGAUAAAAAAUCCGUUCACAAAUGAGCUGUGCUAUUCGAUCACCUUUUUUUACUUCAAACUUCUCUUUGCCAAAAUUAAAUAACACAACACCAAUAUUUCCUCUAUAAUCUUCAUCUAUGACACCAGCUCCUACAUCUAUGAAGUAUUUUGCAGCCAGGCCAGAACGUGGAGCUAUUCUUCCAUAGCACCCAGAAGGAAGAGCUAUCUGAAUGUCUGUUUUCACAAGGGCUUUCUCCAUAGGUGGUACUAUAUAAUCAUAGGCACUGUACAGGUCAUAGCCUGCGGCCCGCGCGGACCCCCGGGUCGGGGCCGUGGCGUGCUCCGAUAGUCGAACAAAGCGGAGCCGCAAGCCGCCAUCCUCCGCAGGCCGGGCCCGCUUGCUGGGGGAAAUGGCGGUUACUUCUUCAGAAGAGGGCAUGGCAGCACCGGAGGGCAAGAGAAGACGAAGAGACCAGAAAAGACAGCAGGGGAUCAAGAUUGAUUUAAUACAUGGAAAAUUACUUAUCAAGAAGCCAAAAAUGCGUUCCUUUUUCACUAAAUAACGUUGGAGGAUGCAUAGGAAACAUUGCUGAAUUUGUGAACAAAUAAUAUUAGAAUAAAUUUGAUUCCUGUGGCAUGUUCCUGUAAUCCCAGAUAUGUGGAAAACUGAGGCAGGAGGAUCCUGAGUUUGAGACUAGCUUGAAUCUCAUUCUAAUAAGACCUUAUCUCUAAAUAAAUAAGUAUUUGAACAAAUUUUGCAGUGUGGGAAGUUUGGUAUACAAUGAGUCCAGGGCUGCAGGUGUAGCUCAGUGGUAGAGUGCUUAUUUAGCAUGUGCCAGGCCCUGGGUUUGAUCCCCAGCACUGGGAGGGGAAGGGAAAAAAAAAAAAAGAUUAAGCAGCUUUUAGCAUGUAUUACUAGAGUCUUUUUGAUAAUUGAAUUCGGAAAGAACCACUUCUGAGCUACUGGAAGACAUACUCUUUUUUCUUUUUAAAUAUUUAUUUUUUAGUUAUAGGUGGAGACAAAACUUUAUUUCAUUAUGUGAUGCUGAGGAUCGAACACAGAGCUUCAUGCAUACUAGGCAAGUGCUCUACCUCUUAGCCACAACCCCAGCUCCUGGAAGACAUACUCUUAAUAGUGAAUAAUUUUCUUAUUAAGAACAUUGUUAUUUGGAAUAAGUGUCUAAGUGAAAACUACUGACAAAACAGUUACUUUGAUUAAAAGAGAAAUUCAUUCAUUGCCUUUUAAUGGGCAAGCUGUCGAGUCAGGUUGUCCUUCAUUAGUUGUGUUGUAUUAGAGUUGUUGAUGGCUUAUUUUCUUUUUAAAAAAUGCCAGCUGGCCAGGUAUGGUGGCACAUACCUGUAAUCCCAGCAACUUGUGAGGCCAGCACAGGAAGAUUGCAAGUUUGAGGCCAGCCUUGGCAAUUUAAUGAGACCUUGUCUUAAAAUAAAAGAAUGUAAAAGGGACUGGAAAUGGUAGCUCAGUGAUAGGGCACCCCUAGCUAGGUUCCAUUCCCAGUACUGCAAAAAAAAAAAAAAAGAAUAAAAGGAAAAAAAAAAAAAAAACUCAGCUGUUGGUCUCCUUUCUAUUUUCCUGACACCCUCUUCACAUCUUUUAAAAAUUUCUUCUCUCAAUCUAACUUCCAUGUAUGAGAGAAAACAUCCUACUCUUGACUUCCAGAGUCUGGCUUAUUUCAUGAUGUUCUCUAGUUUCAUCCACUUACCAGCAAAUGACAUAAUUUCAUUCUUCUUUAUGGCUGAAUAAAACUCCAUUGUGUAUAUAUACCACAUUUUAUUUAUUCAUUUAUCUGUUCACAGUUGCUUUAACUUGCCUUUUGUGAAUUGUGCUGCUCCAAACACUGGUAUGUAUAUAUCACUGUAGUAUGCUGAUGUUAGUUCUUUUGAAUAAAUACCAAGGAGUGGAAUAGCUGGGUCAUGGGGUGAUAUCAUUUUUAGACUUUUGAAGACUCUCCAUACUGCUUUCCAAAGUGGUUGUACUAAUUUGCACUCCCACCAACCAUGUACCUUUUCCCUCACAUCAUUGUCAAUAUUUAUUUUAUUUGCAUUCUUUUAUUUUCCUUUGAUACCAGGGAUUGAACCCAGGGGCACUCAACCACUGAGCCACAUCCCCACCCUUUUUUAUUUUUUAUUUUGAGACAGGAUCUUGCUAAGUUGCUUAGAGCCUUAGCCUCCAGAGUUGCUGGGAUUACUGGUGGGUACCACCACACCUGGCUAUUAUUUGUGUUCUUUGAUUUCUAUUCUAACUGGUAUGAGAUGAAAUCUCAGUGUAGUUUUUGAUAUCCAUUUCCCCUGACUGCUAAGGAUGUUGAACAUUUUUUCACAUUAUUUGUUGGCCAUUCAUAUUUCUUCUUUUGAGAAAUGUCUGUUUAGAUCAUUUAACCAUUCAUUGGUUGGGUUGUUUUGAGGUGUUUUUUGAGUUCUUUAUAAUAUUCUAGAUGCUAAUCAUCUCUUGGAUGCAAAGCUGGCAAAGAUUUUCUCCCAGUCUCUUCUCUUUUCACAUUCUUAAUUUUUUCCUUUGAGGUACAGAAGCUUUUUGAUGCCAUCCCCCUUAAUGAUUUUUGGUUUUCUUUCCCUCCCUCCCUCUCUCCCUUUCUUCUUUCCUUCCUUCCUUUUUGAACCAGGGAUUGAAGCCAGGGGCACUUACGCAUUGAGCCACAUCCCCAGUCCAUUUUAUUUUGAGGCAGGGUCUUGCUAAAUUGCUUAGGGCCUAGCUAAGUUGCUGAGGCUGUCUUUGAACUUGAGAUCCUCCUGCUUCAGCCUUUGGAGCAACUAGGAUAAUAGGGAGGUGCCACUAUGCUGGCUCUUGGUUUUAUUUCUUGAGGAGAUAUAGAGGGAAGGAGGAGGGGAGACAAUGGGGAGGCACUGGGAAUGAAAUCUACCAAAUGUGCUAUGUCUACAUUCAAAUAUACCAUAAUGAAUCUCACUUAUAUGUAAUUAUAAUGUAGUCAUUAAAAUAAUAAUGUUAAUGAUAGUGGGAGAUCAGUAGAGUAGAGGAAGCAAAUUAGUGGGAGAGAUGAGGGAAAGGGAAAAUACUGGGGAAUGAGAUUGACCAAAUUAUGUUAUAUGCAUGUAUGUAUCCCAUUAUUAUGUAUAAUUAUAAUGCAUCAGUAAAAAAAAAAAAAAAAAAAGCCAACUGUUGCCAGGUGCAGUGGCAUACAUACCUAUAAUCCCAGCUAUUUGGGAGACUGACAGGGAAUAUUAUGAGUUCAAGGCCAGGCUGGGCAAUUUAGUGAGACACUGUCUCAAAAUGAAAAAUGAAGCUAGGCACACUGGUAUACCCCUAUAAUCCCAGUUACUCAGGAGGCUGAAACAGGAGGUUUGCAAGUUUGAAACCAGCCUCAGCAAUUAGCAAGGCCCUGUGUCAAGUUAAAAAAUAAAAAAGGGCUGGGGGUGUAGCUCAUUGGUAAAGUACCAAUAAAGUAAAAUACACACACACACACACAUCAUCAUCAUCAUCAUCAUCAUAAUAAUAAUAAUAAUAGUAACAAAACAGCAUGUAUUAAUUAACUUUAAAAAUGACGAUUGUUUAGGACUGGGGAUGUAAUUCAGUGUAGAGUACUUGCCUAGCAUGGGUGAAGUCCUGGUUUUGAUCCCAGCACUACCCCCUCAAAGUCAGCUUUUUAGCAUAAGUGUGAUACAUAGCAAAUACCAUUUGAAUUUCAUUAGGAAUUAGACAUAGAAGUUCAUUUCCACAAUAAAUUUAAAAAAAAAAAAAAAAUCAACAUCAACCUGUGUCAUUGAAGUAAAAUAAAAAAUACACCACGACUCCAAGCUUGGGUCACAGAGCGUGCAUGAUCCAUUCACGAUAUGGUGACUCGGUGUUGGGGUCCGAGGUUCAUUUCCAUAAUAAAAUUAUUACUUGUACUUUCAUUGAAUAAAGAAGAAUCCUUUUUUUCACGACACCCUUUCGUGAAAGGGGAACUAUGAAAAUUUUUUUUUUUGUUCGAAAUGACUUUAUAUUAAAUGUAUGGUAUUUUAAGACACCAAAAAUCACGUAAAUACAUGUUAGUAUUGGUAAUAGAAUAAAUUCCCGUAAAAAUAGUGAGGUUUUUCUUUGAUACAUGACUAAUCGAAGUGAGGGGUAAGACAGGAGAGAUCAGGGACCGUAUAUGAUUAAAAAGACAGGGACACCUAAACGGAUUAGACCCAUAGUCAUAAAAACAGAAUCAUAUAAUCUGUGGCCUUCAUCCUACUAUUGAACUACAUCCCUAGCCAUUUUUAUUUUUAUUUUGAGAGAGAGUCCUGUUAAGUUGUCUCGGCUGACUUCCAACCUGUAACCCUCCUGUCUCAGCCUCCAGAGUCACUGGGAUUACAGGUGUGCACCACCACACAGGGAUCUUUGUGUAUUUAUUUAUUUAUUGGUACUAGGGAUUGAACUCAGGGGUGCUUUACCACUGAGCUACAUCCUCAGUCCUUUUAAUUUUUGUUUUGAACAGGAUCUCAUUAAGUUGCUGAGUGUCUCACUAAAUUGCUAAGGCUGGCCUCAAAUUUGUGAUCCUCCUGUCUCAGCUUCCUGGGGGCAUGCACCACCAUGCCUUGUUCUGUGUUUAAUUUUUUGAGGAAUUGUUAAAUGCUUUCUAGAGCAUCUACUCCAUUUUACAAUCCUAGCAGUAAUUCUAUAAGAGUAUCCAUUUCUCCACAUCCCUGUGAACACUAGUUAUUGUCUAUCUUUUUAACUCUAGCCAUCCCAAGUGGGUUUGAAGUGGACUUGCCUUGUGGUUUAUAUUUGAUUUCCCAAAUGAUUUAUGAUUUCAGUAUGAUUUGUUGUAUCUAUAAAAAUUCUUUGUAAUUUUGCACAUGAAAAAUUUGGAAACAUAAUUUUGUAACCUGAUAAAAAUCUCCAAAUAUAUUUCUAAAAUAAGUUUUCAGAUAAUCUAAUGAAAUAAAGAACCUAGGCAUUGAUUAUUAGCAGCUGUUAAAACCAUUAUGCGUGGCCAUGUGGCUCAGUGGUCAAGUGCUCCUGAGUUCAAUUCCUAGUACCCAGCACCCCCACCAAAACAAACAAACAAACAAACAAACCCAAAACACAAAACAUUUUGGAGCUUUAUAAUGGGCUGGGGGUGGGGGUCAAGCUGGCAGUAUUCUGAUGAAUCAUAACAUCUCUGAAAUUGGGACAACCACAUCUUUUGUUCCUUCUAUGUGAUAUAGUGGGAAGAACAUAACAUUCAUGAAAUAUUGCUCCCCUCUUCACAAAGCAAAUCAAAUCUGACUCAGAUUAAGCUUCUAGAUUUAACAGUUUAUAGGAUGCUAUUAGCAAAUUCAGAAUGUGAGAAAUACUAUAGAACAAAUGAAUCAUUACUGCAAAUAAACAUAAAAAAAAGAGUAAAAAAAAUUAUUACAGUUUAAAAAAGACUCAAGACAUAUUAACUAAAUGUAAUGUGUAUUGCCGCAGUCCGGCUGCAGCAAAAUAACCCGGGGGUGACAAGCAACUUGUGUAGAUUGAUACAGCAGGAGUAGGAGCCGUUUAUUGUAGGACCAGAGGGAUAUUUAUACAUUCCACACAGCUUAUCUUAAUUAGCAUAAACUAGAUACAUCAGUCAACCAAUAAGGAAUCUCCACACUUAAUGGCUCGCUGGCCUUACUUCACAAACCACUCCCUCUGGCAAAAUGCCAGGCGCCAUCCUGACUUGUUUACAGACUCUAACAGUGUAUACCCAAACCGGCAUUCAAAGAUAUUUAUGAGACCAUUGGGAAUAUCAGAUGAUUGUUAUUUUUUUUAGGUAUGAUAAUAGUAUUGUGAUUAUAUUUAUUUUGUUUUUCGUGUGUGUUUGUGGGCGGGCGGGGGGGGAGAUAUUGUAUUUAAAAAGGAAGACACUUUUAGAGACAAGUACUGAAAUAUUUAUGAAUGAAAUGAUAUGAUGUUUGCUCCAGUACCAUAAGAAAAGAGAAAAAGGAAGACGUACAUCUUUAGCCAGAUUUAAAGGAAAGUGUUUGUAUUAUUGAAUGGUAGAAAAAUAAAUAUCACAGUUAAUAAGCAUAGCUAUAGUGAUUGUUCCUUUUGGACCCAUGUUUCUGUUUUGGCUCUGUUAGCCAUUAAAACCAAAUAUUGACUUGAAAUCAGACUUUCAAACUAUUUUAUGACAAAGUGUUAUAAAUGAAAUUUUUUGUCAAACAUAAUGAAAAAUAUUUAAUCAUGGAUCACACAAAAAAUGGGUUUAUAUCAGUAUUUUAGUGGUAUCAAUACCAUUAUUGUGAUCAUGAUUCUGUUUCAUUUGAAAAUUAAUUUUUUGAGGUAUUUACAUAUAGAUUAGUACCUAUGCCAUAGGUAAAGAUAUGUUGGGAAUGUUGCUCUUAUUUAUUAGUAGGUACGCAGUCAAAACUUUUGGUUGUCAGUACUGUGGAAAACAAACUGGGCAGAUCACAGAGAUUUAUUUGGUGAUUUGAGCAAAUUUGACAAGUGAUGACGGUGUUAUGGAGUGCUGAUGAGAGAUGUGGAGAUAUGUGGACAUAUACUUAAGUAUGAUUUAAGAAGAAGCAUUAGUAGGGUUACAGAUUUGGGGGUUUUUGGAAGACAUGUUGGCAAAUGGAGCUUCUGUGUGUAGGAAGAAGUUGAAAUCUGGCUCCUGUGAAUUGUGCAGGCAGUUUUCAAAUAUUGAUUGACAAAUAACUUAACCCACAAUUAGUUUUCAAACAUUGGUUGACAGACAGCUUAAUGCAAUGUUGUAAAUGCAUUGAUACUACUCAUUAAUAAAGAGAAUGCCUUCCAUUGAUGUGUCAGCAGCACUGUUACCAGAACAUUGUGGAAUAGUUCCAGGAUUUCCGAUGUUCUUCUAAAAGAAACGGAGGGCCCUGGUCUUUUAUGAUGCUUCUAUUCUCCUAGUUGCCUUUUCUGUGUCUCCAGUGAUGUGAAUGCUUCUCCCACUUUUCAGGGAGUAAGGCCGAUCCCUAAGUCAGUGCCUCUACCUGCACUGACUGCAAAACUCCCCAUUGUUCCCUUCUUCCUGUCUGGGCCUUUGUUAGCCCAUACCCUUUACUGAGUUCAAAGUGACCUGCUGGUUCUUUCUUUCCAGAGUCUGGUGUGUUAGCUAGAGUGGACCUCUCAAGUCCUUAAGUCUAACCCUCACAGCUGAGAAGCAGAAGCAGCCCAGGGAGACUCCGCCUUGCCCAGGGUCUUGCUGCUAGCUGGUGGGUCAUGGAAAAUCCUUUUCCUUCCUGUAGUUCAUGCCCAGUUAGCAGUAGUACCACUACAGCUGUUCUGAACCUCUAAGGCAGGGAUUCUUAGUAGUUGAAUAACUACUAAAAAAGAAGAAAAACAUGGUUUUGAUAUGUUUUUAGUUUUUAUAUUUUAAAAUUAUGUUUAACUUAAAAUUGUGUUUUUUUUAAUAAUUAUUACUUAAUACAUGUUAAAAUAUGUCAGUAGUACUAAAAAUAUAUAGUAAAAGUUAAUUCUGUCUCCUUCCAUCUUCCCUCUUCAAAGACAUCCCUUUCUAUAGGUACUGUGAAUAGUACUUGUAAAAUCUUCCAGAUAUAUUACAUGGCUAUUCGAUGUAAUAGUUAUUUAAGUUUGAUAUUUCAAAUAACAAUAAAGGAGGAUAUGUUUUAGCAGAUUAAGAUGUGCUCCUCCUCUUCUCCUUCUUGUUUGUUUUUUUUGGGGCUGUGGAUCAAACCUAGGACCUUGUGCAUGCUAGAGAGGUGCUAAACAUGCCUGUGGAUGAUUGUGUAAGGAGGUUUGAUUCAAUUUCCCAGUGUCAGUGGAAAUGGUUUCUUAAAUCAGUCAUACUUAUUAAGUUACUUUUCAAAGGUUCUACUUUAAGAAGGGCUUUUGUGUAGAGCAAGUGGUGGUUAGUAGAGCAGUUUAGUUAUGUGUGAGUUUUCUAAUAUUGGGGGGGGCCUUUUGUGUAUGGAAAGGACUACUUAAAAUUACUUGGUUUUCAAAUUAAUGUUUAAUUUAUUAAAAUGUCAAGUUAAAAAUCUAAUUUUCCUUUAGUUUUGUUAUUGUAAGCAUAGUACUUUUGUUUGGAAUAAGGAACAACAGUUUUCACUUUUUAAAAAGUUAAUGUUAAUAGUUUAAAUUCCUUCAUACUCUUUACUCAGUUAAUUAAAUUUCCAGAGACAUUUAAAAUACACUUAUACAUUCAGUCUGUCAAACAUAGUCAGUCCUUGACAGGUCAAACUUGAGAUCAGUGCUUUUCAUUAGCUAAAUCUGAAUUACCAGCACUUAAAAAAUAUUUAUCCUAGCUCAGCACCAGUAAUCCCAGUGACUCAGUAGACUGAGGCAGGAGGAUUCCAAGUUUGAGGUCAACCUCAGCAACUUAGUGAGACCCUGUCUUAAAAAUAAAAAGGUCUGGGGAUGCAGCUUAGUGGUAAAACACCCCUGGGUUCAAUACUAGUUCUUUCUUUCUCCUGCAAAAAAAGAAUCCUAAACAUAACUCAAAGUAUUAGUACUAUGUCUUUGACAUACUUCAUUUUAUUGCUCACCAUUUUCUUCUCACAGUUGUAGUGUCACUCAAAUGUGGAGGACAGAUUUACUAUGUCAGAGAGACAGGUUUUUUGGACUGAAAAUACAGGACUAUGGUAUAGUUAUUGGUCAAGAGAUUUAAGACUGGGAAAAGGCUCUGUGUUUUUAGGAUAAUCCUACUUAAGAGGUACCCUUCUUUGUAGGAGAAGCCUAAAUGUGGUCUCAAUGGCAGAAUCCAUAUCCAGAGUUUGUUUUGCUACCCUUUGUAUUUUUUUCUUUUUUUCAAAUUAACCCUUUAAUCAUCCCCCCAAAUCAAUUUGGAUUUUGUGUUUCUUUCAUAUAUUUUUUGUGAGGCCUAUUAUUUUAAUUUUGGGAGUUGGAUUGAUUAGGGUUCAUAUCUUUUGCAUGCCAGGUUUUGUGAACUUGGACAAGAUACUUAACCUUUCUGAGUCUCAGUUUCCUCACCUGGUAAAUAUCUGUCUUUCCUUCCUUGUGGUUGAGUCAGGAUCCAGUGUAGCUAUUUGAAUUAACACAGUAACAUUUUACCUUCCUCCUUUUUUUUCCCUUUGUGGUAGCAGGGCUCUUUACCACUGAACCAUGUCCCUAGCACUUUUUAAUUUUAUUUUGAAAUAGGGUCUCAUUAAAUUGUUGAGGGUCUCACUGUGUUGUUGAGGCUGGCCUUGAACUUGUGAUCCUCCUACCUCAAUCUCCAGAAUUACUGGGUUUACAGGUGUACACCAUCACCCUCAGCUCCAGGAAAAUGUGGUCAUGGGGUGGGGGGAUAGGAAGGGAAAAGAAUUGAGUAAAAAUGCAAUAAACUGUGUGGUCUUUACUUUUUGAACUAUCUUCCCCUUAGUUGUAUGACACACUGUCCUCAUUUUUUCCUGUCUCUGGCUUUUCCUCAGCUCCCUCAUACCCUCCUUCUUUGGCCACUCUUAAAAUUACCAAGAUAUUCAUCCUCAGCCUUGUGUUUCAUCUUCCUUGCUAACCAGGAGAAAUUGGUCUACAGAACAGAUAUGGUUGAUAGCCAGCAACCUGCUUGCUUCCUCACUUGGCUAAUUCCAAGUCUCCUAUGACCUGCUCAGAACUGACCUCAUCUGACCUCAUCUUCCCUUUAAAUAUGUUAUUUUUAUAAUCUCUGUCUUGAUGAAUGGCAUAACCCAGAAACUUACACAGAAAGCUUGGAUGAUGAUGUUCGUCUGGUUGGUGAUACAUUCUUUUUUUUUUUUUUUAAAGAGAGAGAGAGAGAGAAUUUUUUAAUAUUUAUUUUGUAGUUUUUGGCGGACACAACAUCGUUGUUUGUAUGUGGUGCUGAGGAUCGAACCCAGGCCGCACGCAUGCCAGGCGAGCACGCUAUCGCUUGAGCCAUAUCUCCAGCCUGGUGAUACAUUCUUGUCCAUCUUUAGUAUUUCUCAAAUUAGCCUACUUUUGCCCAUCUCUUCUGUCCAUUAGUUUAGGCUGCUUCUCAUGUAGAUAACUGUUGCAUAUUCUCAAUUUUCUAAUCAUUACUACUUCCUUGUUCAAAUUUGUUGAUCACGUGACUGUCACAGUGAUCUUUUUGAUUUUCUGAUCUAAUCACAGCACUCACCAGUUUAAGAUCCUUUGAAUAAAAUCCAAACUUCUUAACAGAGCAAGCUUUGGGGAUUUAACCCCUUUUAACCCUUUUCCUGAGCCUAUUGACUGUUGUCUGCUGUGUUCUUUCAGGCUCUCUGCCUUUGGAUGGACUGCCCAUCUUCCUCUUUCUUAAAAAGUAUUAAAAUUUCUUAGAAAGCAUCUCCUUCAAUGAGCAUUUCAUUACUGACUGCCACAAGACUGACUUCAGUAUUGAUCCUGUGCUUAUUUCUAUCAAGUCACUUAUCUGAUUGUGUAUAAUCCAUAUGCUUAUACUGUAUGAUGUUUUUUUUUAAAUGGGCAAAGUACUUUUUUCCCCCCCAAAUAUACAUUUUUUUUUUUUAAUUGUAGGUGGACACAGUACACCAUGCUAAGGCUUGAACUCAGUGCCUCACCCUUGCCAGGUGAGUGCUCUACCACUGAGCCCCAGCCCCAGCCCUCUAUGAUAAUCUUUACAUCAACUUGUGCAGAUUAAAUGUUUUAUACUCUUAGACGAAUCCUUAUGGCCAAAAUGUUAAGUAAUAUGUAAAUUUACUGAGGCAUGUGUUCACUUUACUUGCCCAUUGAAUUUAGUGGCAGCAGAACUAAGUUCACCUCAGUAUUCAGUGAACGUAGGUAGAUAGCCUCACUCAGCAUCAAAUUCUUUUUAAUGUUUCCGUUUUAGGCAUGCCACAACUCUAAAAAAAUCAUUAAUACUUUUAGUGUGAAAAGUGAUAUUCAGAAGGAAAAAUUAAUUCUAUUUUUUAUCUAGUCAUCAAGAUUUAUAGGAAUCUCACAUCAAUUAUGUUUUAUUGUGUUUUGUAAAAUAAAUCAUGAUAUCCCCAUUUACUUGAAAUUUUUGUGUGUGUGGUUUUUUGAAUGUCAGAAUUUUGUUAGUUUUUCUGCUACACUGGUUGCUCUUUGAGAACAAGGACUGUGUGACUUGUUUUAUAGUCUUCUUUACCUCCAGCUCUAAUGUAGUAUCUGCUUUAUAGUGGGAAUGAAGGAUUUCUUGCAGUAGAACCAUAUUAAAGACCCUCUGAUUUUUGAUUGCAAAUUGAUAACCUUGUGAAACAAACUGGUAUUUCUUAUAAAUUAAAAAACACAACUCGAUUAUUAGGCAUAGUCCAGGUACCUGGUUCCAGCAACAGUGCUGUGUGUCUUGCAAGGCAGCCAGAUAGCGCGUGACUGUGAGAUGGAGUUUGUGCACGCUAACUGGGAAUUUACCAACUCCAACCCCACAUGCUGGGGAUAGAACCCAGAACCUUCUGCUUGGUAGGCAAGUGCUCUAUCACCCAAGCCACAUCCCCCAGCCCUAAAUGGACAUUUUGAGGAACUAGGGAUUGCUUACAUUUUAAUAACAGUUCAGGUUAGAAAUAUUUAUAUCAUAUUUAAUUAUCAUUUAACCAUAUUUAAUCUUUAACUGUUUUUUGUUCCCCAGAUGAUAUGGGGACUUUUUUCUUUUCUUUCUUUUUUUGUCAAAUGGCUACUUAUUCUUGGUCACAUAUGGCUUAUGAAAAUCUGCAUUUUGUUUGUGAACUCUUUUACCCUGCUUUGAAGCAUAGUCCAGAACCUUUUUCUUCUUACCUCUUGACCUUCAAACCCAAUGAUUAUUGCUUUUGAUCCUAUUUGUCUCUAUUCUAGAUGUCUUGUCACAGACGUACUUCCUACAAGAGGUUAUUUAGGUAAAUAGUAUACUAUAUUUACCAUAAUUAAUAUUAACAUAUUGAAUAUUAGGAUAAAAGUUAACAAGGAUUUGAAGUAGUUUCAUGAAAGUAAUUAAAAUAACAGUGGUGGGCUGAGGCUGUAGUUCAGUGGCAGAGUGCUUGCCUAGUGUGCAUGCGGCACUGGGUUAGAUCCUCACCACGAUGUAAAAAUUAUAAAUAAAGGCAUUCUGUCUACCUACAACUACAAAAAAAUAAAAAAAAAUAACAGUAGUACUUCCUUUAAAUAAUUUUUUUUUUAAUGUGGUGGAGAUAAUAGCAUGGCCAAAGAAAGAAUUUAAUUAUUUUUGGUAUAAUGAAAUCUAACCUGUAGGUUGCCAUUAGAGCGUGACAAUUAUAUAAUAAAAGAGCAAAAAAAAUUUUUUUCUCCCAAUACUGGGGAUUGAACUCAGGGCUUUCCAUUCUACCUCUAAGCAACACUCCCAGCCCUGCUUGUUUUUUAUUUUGAGAUAGGGUGUAAGUUGUCCAUGUUGACCUUGGUGGAUCCUCCUGCCUCAGCCUCUUGAGUAGCUUGGAUAACAGGUGUGCACUACCAUGCCUGGAAAACCAGAAUAAUUUUUGUGAGGUCUAUUGAUAUAGAAGUAUUUAGUUCACUGUUCAUCUAUUUUAGAAUUUGUAUUUUCUAGUUUUUAAACUAGAAAAUACAUUUAAACAAAAAAUUUUAAGUCUCUGUAAUACUUUCAGAACUCAUAAAAUUUUGUUUUCUUUUGUAGUGUUGGGGAUUGAACCCAGGUCCUUGCAAAUGCUAGGCAUGCACUGAGCUAUCCCCAAAUCCUUCAUAAUGUUUUUAAGAUGUUUUUUUUUUUACUUCUCUUCACUUCUUCCCCACCCCCACCCCCUUAUUUAAGUUAUGCAUUGGUAACUCAAAUAUAUCUUGGAGGCCAGGCAGGAAGUGUGAAUGAGAAAAUUUGAUCUGUUGGGUUCUGUGUUACAUUGGGGGUUCUAUAGUCUACCUAAAGUAGUUUUUUGUUGUUGUUGUUUUGUUUCUUUAAAAUUUUUAACACAUUAUGUAAUGGAUUUGUGACUUUCAUAUUAACUGUGAAAGAACUAUUAAAGAUUGCAUAAAAUUUAGUUUAUGUUUCUAUUUGAAACUGAAUCAUUAAACAAAAAUUUAAGUAAUUAUACUAUUAUUCUUUUAUACCCAUCUGAAAUAAUAUUUACAUAAUAAUAGCUCCUUAAUUUUCCCAGGUACAUUUUUCCCCUUAAGAUUGCUUUAUGUAUUUUAAUUAUUCAUUUUCAUGUCUAGUUUCUGGUAGUUUAUUGAGGACUAAGAGCAUAUUUAUUAGUUCUAGUAGGAGCUCAAUACAUUUGUGUUAAAUAUUGCAUAAAGUAGCAGGCAUACAUUAAACAGGGAGAGAUUGUUUAAAACUAAAAUGUGAGGGUAGUCUAGCAUAACAUUUCUUUCUUUUUAUUUGUAUAAUGAUUUGGAAUACUGUGUCUGCACUAUUUUUUUUUUUUUUUUGCGGGGGGUGGGGGGCAUCAGGGAUUGAACUCAGGGACACUCAACCAAUAAGCCACAUCCCUAGCUCAGUUUUGUAUUUUAUUAGAGACAGAGUCUCACUGAGUUGCUUAGCACCUUGUCAUUGCUGAGACUGGCUUUGAACUCCUGGUCCUCCUGUCUCAGCCUCCUAAGCUGCUGGGAUUACAGGCAUGCACCACUGUGCCCAACUGUAUCUCCCCUAAAUUUUACCUAUGUUUCUUGGGAAUCACUAAGAAUGUUAAUGAUGAUACAUCCAUGUUGGGUUUGAUUUUGACAAAUCUCUGCACACAUGAUGACCAAACAAGUUCAUCACAAAUAGCUAAUGAUACAAGAAAAGGUCUGGAGCCGGACAUGGUGGCACAUACCUGUAAUCCUAGCAGCUCAGGAGGCUGAGGCAGGAGGAUUGUGAGUUCAAAGCCAGCCUCAGCAAAAGUGAGGCACUAAGUGAAUCAGUGAGACCCUGUCUUUAAAUAAAAAAUACAAAAUAGGGCUGGGUAUGUGCCUCACUGGUCAAGCGCCCCUCAGUUCAGUCCCUGGUGCCAAAAACAAAACAAAAAACUGUUUUUAGAAAAUAUAAUGAAAUUUUAGUAUCCCUUGAAUGAAGAAGGGAUUUGGAAUUUGCACACCUCAGUUUUGUUUCUAGCAAUGAUGUUUCUAGCAGUACUGAUAGUCACAGAUCUCUUUGGGUGAUUGUUUUCCUUUUUCUUCUUUUUAUACUACUGGGGAUUGAACCCAAGGCCUCAUGCAUGUUAGGCAAGUACUCUACCACUGAGCUACAUCCCAGACCUUUUUAUGUUUUAUUUUGAGGAAGGAUCUUGCUAAGCUGAACAGGCCUGGAACUGAAAUCCUCCUGCCUCAGCCUUCAAGCAGCUGGGAUUACAGAUGUGCACCACCACUUCUAGCUGGGUCAGUUAUAUUUCAUCUGUAAAGUGAUAAAGGACUUGAUCAUCUAAAAUUGUUCUGUCCCUAAAAUGAUCUAAUUCUAAAAUGCUGUAAUUUCUAAAUGAAAUGUUAACACACAGUGAAUGACCUUAUCUCAUUUUAAGAAGAGUUUGAGCAGUUUAUUGAAAAAUAUCUAAUACUGUGUGUGCACGCCUGCACGUGCAUGUGUGUUAAAGAAUUCUAGAAAGAUAAAGAAUAAAUAGGUAGUAAUUACUAGGUCUGGUAGGAGGGGACCUGGAUGGCUGGUGGGAAGAGAUCUUUUAUUUAUUAUACUUUCCUUUGUGUUUUUUGAAUUUUAUAACAUGUAUUUGAUUAUCCAUUCAAUAAAGACAAUUUAAAUAUAAUCUUGUAUCAACAGUGAGGCACAAGAUUUACUUGUUGCAUAUAUAGCAGAGGGUAGAUGAUAUAGCCUAUUCUUAAAUUUAUUUUUAUUUUUUAUUUUUUUGUUAAAAGCUAACACAUACAUAUUAUUAGCCCAGGCUCACAUUGGGUUAGAAUCAUCAAUAUUAGUAUCUUCUACUUCCACCGUUAUCCUACUGGAAGGUCUUCAGCGGAGUAACAAACAUGGAGCUGUAAACUCUUAUGAUAACAGUGCCUUCUUCUGGAAAUCCUGAAGGACCCUGUGUGAGGUGGUUUUACAGGUUUUUUUUUGUUUUUUUGGUUCCCAAGAACAGUUAACUACUGAACCAUAUCCCCAGGCCUUUUAUUUAUGUUUGAUUUUGAGUUGCUUAGAGCCUUGCUAAGUUGUUGAGGCUGGCUUCCAACUUGUGAUUCUCCUGCCUCAGCUUCUCCAGUUGCUGGAAUUACAGGUGUGUGACACCACACCUGGCUUAUUUAUUUAUUUUUUUGCAAGUAGAAGGCGUACACUCUAAAAUAACAAUAAAAGUACAGUAAAUAUUUAUUAUCAUUAUCAAAUGUUACAUACUCUACAUAAUUUUAUAUGCUAUACUUUUGUAUGACUGACAGCACAAUAGGUUUGUUUAUAUCAGCAUCACCAUAAACAUGUGAGUAGUAUGUUGUGCUGUGACAUUAUGUUAGCUACAACUUGCCACCAGAUGAUAGUUAUUUUUUUGACUCCUUUAUAAUAUAGGGACCACUAUUUCAUACGUGGUUCAUUGUUGACCAAAAUGUUAUUGAGGCACAUAACUGAAUAUAAAUGUAUACAUAAAAAAAAAGUUAGAGUAAAGGGAAAGUAAGGGUGUAUUGGUGGGAACCAGUCCAAAACUGUUAGUACAAAAAAAACUGUUAGUACAGAGAAUACAGUUCAUUAGAUCCUAUGCAUCUAUUUAUUUAUUUUGGUGGUGGGGAUUGAACCUAUGGCUUUGUGCAUGCUAACACAGGCAUUCUACCACAGAGCUACAUCCUCAGUCCCCCAUGCAGCUAUUUAAAGAAGACUGUAUAUUGAAUUCUCAAGUUAUAGUAGCCAAGAAAGAGAUGCCAAGAAAUUCACUUGACUUACAAGAUAAAAUUGUGAAAAGCAGCUUUUUCUGGCACUAAGAUUUGAGGCAUUUUUAUCUUUUUUUUUUUUUUUAAUUGUCAAUGGACCUUUUUUUUUUUUUUUAAAGUUGUGCUGAGAAUUGAACCCAGUGCCUCACACAUGCUAGGUGAACUCUUUACCACUGAGCAACCAUUUUUAUCUUAAAAGAGGUGUUAUGAGCUAUUGUGGAAGAUAUUUUCAAUAACUCUACAGUCAAAUGGAGGUCCUUUGUUAUGUUUUGGAGGGAAGUUUCUCUGAGUGGACCCUUUUUAAAUUCUUAUAGUCUGAUAUACAAGCAUAUAAAUGGCUGCCCACUUUAUAACUACUGAUUAUUGCCAUAAAUUUCAGUGUUCAUGUUUGCUUGUCUGUUUAGGAUCAUUUGUUAUAUGAUUAUAUAUUUCUCUCACUUUCCCUUUUUUCCCCCUUUGGUGCUAGAGAUUGAACCCAGUGCUUGUGAGCACAUGCUCUACCAACUUUGUUUGUUAAGUAGUGCUGGGCAUACUGUGUGAAUAAAGGUUUUGCAGUUGUUUGAAAUGGGAAAGUAGCAACAUUAAGGCAUACCAAGCAAAAACAAAAAACAAAAAACUGUUAGGGUAGUAAUUACUGUCCUUAUUGUAAGAGAUGAUUUACUUUUAACAUUAAGUCUAUUAUCGUUAAAUUGAGUUUUAUUAAUUUCAUAUUUUUAUAUUAAUUUAUAUGUAUGUUUUAGUUCUACUGUAGUUGAACUGUCCCCUAAAAUGAAUGUGCUGGAAACUUAAUGCCCUAUAUAACAGUAUUAAGAGAUGGGAUGUUGACUACCCCACCUUUACCCCAUCCCCAUACUGGGGAUUGAACUCAGAUGUUUCAUUUUUUGCUAUAAUAUGUAUAUUAUUUAGCUUAUGUUGAUAUAUAGAGUUAACAUUAUUUUACUAAUAUACUGUUUUCUAAUAAAAUAUAUUUUACUAUAUACUAUUAUUUUACUAAAAUAAUAAGAGAUAUUAAUAUUGAGAAAAUGUUGCUGCUACUUGGGAGGCCGAGGCAGGAGGAUUUCAAGUUCAAGGCCAGCUUUAGCAAUUUUUCAAGGCUCUAUUCAACUUAGUGAGACCCUGUCUUAAAAUAAAAAAUGAAAAGGACUGGGAAUAUAGCUCAGUGGUAAAGUGACCCUGGUUCAAUCCCCAGUACCUAAAUAAAUAAAUAAAAAAUAAUUGAGAAAAUGUUUAACUUUAUACAUGUUGAAAGUGGCUCAAAAACUUUAAAAAAAAGAAUCAGUUGCUUUAAAAAAGGUCUCAGUUAAUAUAUAAUAACAAGAAAAGGGCUGAAGUUCACCUUCAUAAAAAUUUCUAAAGCAUAUAAUUAAUUAUCCUUUAUAGGAAAAAAAAAAACAUUGGGCUUACAGAAGAAAACCAAUUUAAAUGAAAGUUGGGUGACUUUUAAAGCAUUAGUUCUGUUACUCAUCUUUCAGUUGUUUCAAAUUUGAACUCUGCAUGUAAAUGUCUGUCUGUGAAUAGUUCAUAAGCUGAAAAACAAAAACAAAUCUUUAUCGUCUAGAAAUGUAUAUAUAAAAUUCCUCCACAAAAAGGUGCUAUUCUGUUAUUUCCCCAUCUUGCUCUUCUUCAACAAUCUAUGUAUUCUUCUGUAAUAGCCAGUUGCAUAUUUAUAUAGUCAUGUACAGAUACCAGGUGGCCCUUGUACUCCAUUCCCCACUCAGGUUUCACCAUCACUGGUGUUCCUGUUAAUCCGUUGAGGAAAGGUUUGGAAUUGAGGGAUAAACUAAUUGCGAAUACCAGUGAAUGCUGCAGGCUACUUACCAAUAACCUCCUGAGUGAGAUCUGUGUCUUGUGACUGGAACAGCUACUACUGCAGGCCCAAACUGCUAAGCAUCAGGAGAAAUGCAGCAAGAAUAGAUUUCUGAUAAAAGAAUGAAUUCAGUCAGCACAAAAACUGACAGGUUCUGUAGCUAUAUGACAGGAUAAUUUUAUGUUUGCGUAUGUUUCUUAUAAAAAUAUUUUCUUUAGUAUUGGGGGGUGUAUAAGAAUUUUAAAAGGGUUUUACAUCUUUCUCAUUUGAAAAACCCUGCUGUAGUGAUCUGGUUGUAGAUCUUCUAAGCAGAUUUCCCCCAAUCCCAAACCUUUCCUCAAUGGAUUAACAGGAACACCAGUGAUGGUGAAACCUGAGUGGGGAAUGGAGUACAAGGGCCACCUGGUAUCUGUAGAUGACUAUAUGAACAUACAACUUGCGAUUACAGAAGAAUACAUAGAUUGUUGAUGAAGAGGAGGAGGAUGGGGAAAUAAGAAUAGCACCAAAUGAAAGGCAGUUUUCUACGUGUACAUCAUUUCUCAUAACUGAAUUUUGUUGAGAGUUAGAAAAAGAAACUUUGAAAUUAUUUUAAAAAUUGCCGAUUAAGGACAAUUUUAACUUACUUUGGAAAUUAGAGUAGUCAAAAGACAACAUACCCUCGAAUAGGUGGCCAUUUCAUCUCUACAUGAAGCAACUGUAGGCAGGACUAGAUGGUUAUCAAAAAGGAUCCUGAAUACUGGGUGUGGUGACUCAUGCCUGUAGUCCCAGUGACUUGGGAAGCUGAGGAGGAUUGCAAGUUGGAGGUCAGAUUCAGCAAUUUAGCAAUGCCUUAAGCAACUCAGUGAGACCCUAUCUCAAAAUAAAAAAUAAAAAGGGCUGGGAUAUGGCUCAGUGGUAAAGCACCUCUGGGUUCAAUCUCUAGUACAAAAAAAAACAACCAAGGGAGUGUGGGGAGUCUGACUGCUUCAACCCACAAAUGACUGACUAACCCAGGCCUCUAUCCUUCUCUUCGACCGAUAGAGCAUGAUGCUAGAGAGUUUAAUCUGAAAAAACAUCAGAGUUCAAGAACCCACUUACUUACUUUUAUGGCUAAUGAAAGAUGCCUGUGAUUUGCUGAAUUUCAAAUAGUGUCAUUUCCUGGUAAGUCCAACAGGACAAUUCUUUUUUUUUUUUUUUUUUUUUUUUUGGGGGGGGAGAGAGAGAGAGAGAGAGAGAGAAUUUUUUAAUAUUUAUUUUUUAGUUCUCGGCUGACACAACAUCUUUGUUUGUACGUGGUGCUGAGGAUCGAACCCGGGCCGCACGCAUGCCAGGCGAGCGCGCUACCGCUUGAGCCACAUCCCCAGCCCCAGGACAAUUCUUUUGAAAAAGAAAACUGUAGCAAACAAGAGUUUUAAAGUACUAAGGAAAACUGUUAGAUAUUAACUUCAACUUUCAACAAUUAUUUUUGGGUAUCAAAACAAAAUAUAUCAACUGAGAGGAUAAUUUCUUUUUCUUUUUUUUAAAUUUUUUAUUUUUUUUUUAAUCAUACAUGACAGUAGAAUGCAUUUUGAUAUAUAAUUUCUUUUUCUUUUACAUUCCCAAUAAUUCUGAUAAGAGUUUUAAAAGAAGGAUGUAAGGGUUUAUAUUUCAAGUAAUAUAAUCCAUCUGGCAGGAUUAUGUUGAAUCCAUCCCUGUGAUUCUUAGGGAAAGUUUGAUUGUAGAUACCAUUUAUCAGAUUAAGGAAGUUGCCUUCCAUUCCUUUCUGUGAGAAUUUUUUGAUUAAAUGUUGAAUUAUAUCCCAUGUUUUUUUCUUUAGCUAGUGGUAGUUAUGGUUUUUCUUUAAAUUGGCAAUACCAUCAAUCAAUAUUUUUUUUAUGAGAAAAUGGUGUUUUCUUUAAAAAAUCAUUACUUUUUUAUUGUAGUGAAAUAAACAUAAAAUUUAUCCUUUUACUAAUUUUUUAGUGUACAUUUCAUUGUAUGUUCACAUUAGCAUCAUCCAUUUCCAGAACUUCAUCAUCACCCAAACUGAAACUCUGUAUCCAUUAAACCUUAACUUCUUAUUUCUCCCUGGCCUAACCCCUGGCAACUACCUUUCAUUAAUCAGUUUUUAAACUUGAACACAAUUUGGUCAUGGUAUAUGUUACUUAUUAAUGGAGUCAGAUUAUUGAUGUCUUGGUUAGUUGUUUUUUUUUUCCCCCAACAAUAUUUCAGACUAUUUUCUAAUUUUCAUUGUGAUUUUCUGUUUUAAUCCAUGGAUAUGUAUAUGUCUUUUUAACUUUCAAAUAUGUUUUUUUUCCCUAGUUACUGUUUUGUAAUGGGCAAGAUUAUUAGCAUUGUGGUUAAAAGUAUAUGACCUAUGCACAUUUAGAUCUUUAAAAUUGUUAAUUUUUAUCUGCUACUUGGCUUACUACACCCUUUACCCAGAUUCCACAGUUGUUAAGAUUUUACCGAUUACCUUCUCUUAUUUAUUCAUUUAUAAGACAAUUCUGAAUCAUUCGACAAAUAAGUUGUAGACAUAAUGCUCCAUUUAUUUAAAGACAAGGGUACUCUCUUACAUAUCCAUACCAUUGCCCCCUCCUUAAGAUCAGGAAAUGAAUAUUAAUAAAAUGCAUUUAAUUCACAGGCCCCACUCAUCUCACUAAUUUCUCAUUUAUAUCCUUUGUAGCAAAAACACCCACCCUCAAACCCCUGAGAAAACAGAGAAAACCUCUUUGCUACUUUUUUUUUUUUUUUGGUACAAAGGAUUGAACCCGGGGGCAUUUAACUGCUGAGCCACAUCCCUACUCCUUAUUUAUUUAUUUAUUUGGACAUAAUACCUUUAUUUUAUUUAUUUUUAUGUGGUGCUGAGGAUCUAACCUAGCGCCUUGCAUGUGCUAGGCGAGUGCUCUACCACUGAGCCACAACCCCAGCCCCCAUCCCUACUCCUUUUUAUUUUUAGACAAGGUCUCCCUAAGUUGCUUAGGGGCCUCAUUAAAUUGCUGAGGCUGGCCUUGAACUUGUGAUUCUCCUGCCUCAGCCUCCAGAGUUGCUGGGAUUACAGGCAUGCAGCACUACACCUGGUAGCUACCUACUUCUUUUAUUUCUGAUUCAGGAACUAUUCAAGGUUAUGCCUUGCAUUUAGUUAUAUCUUGUCUCUUCAGUAUACUUCAAUCUGGAGUGUUUUUUCAAUCUAUCUCUUCAAUGAUCUUGACAUUUUUGAAGAGUAAGCCAAAUACUUUGCACAAUAUUCCCCAAUUUGAAUUAGUCUGAUGUUUCCUCAUGAGUAAAUUUAGAUUAUGCAUUUUUGGCUAGAAUAUUGCAAACCUAAUGUUGUGUUCUCCCUGUAUUGUAUCAGGAGGCACAUCAGUUUAUCCCAUUACAGGUUAAGUUCAAUUUUAUCUUGGUUAAGAUGUCUGACAGGUAUCUAUAAAGUAUUUUAUGCUUACUAAUUAAUAAGUAAACACUCUACAUUUUGCAUUUUGUGGGGAUGAUACUUUAAAACUAUGUAAAUAGCCCAGUUGUCUUCAAAUUUCCACCAACAAGUUUUCAUAUCCAUUGAUGAUUUGUCUCUGAAUCAUUUAUUACUGUGCUUGUUGCCAGAUGGUGAAUUUUUAAAAAUUUCAUCAUUCCUUUUGCAUUCAUUGUUUGACAUUUCAUUACAAGGAAAAGCUUUCUGCUUUCUCUUCUUGUUGUUUUAAAUCUUUAAAAAAAUGCCAGCAUUGGCUCAUGAAUUCUUAUUUUAUUCACUUUUCACUUAUUUUAAUGUUUCAAAUUGUUCCAGAUUUGGCCAAUGGGAACUCUUUCAAACUGGCUCCUGUGUCCUUUUUUCAUGUCCUCAUCAUUAUUUGACCACUUUCUUUCACCAUACUUUUUGGCACAAUAAGAUUUUUUAUACUUACACAUUAGCUUGUUUCAGUCCUGGAAUCAACCAUUUUAUCAAAGAGCUUUUGAUUCUUCUGUUAGAGAAUGCAUUUAGAAAAUAAGAUCUGAUUACUAGGUAUGUUCCUUGCUACCGGUGUGUCAUUGCUCUUCUGCCGAGGACAGAAGUAGGAUAUAUUUUUUUUUUAAUAUGUUUUUAGUUGUAGAUGGACACAAUGUCUUUAUUUUUUAUUUAUACAUUUUUAUGUGGUGCUGAGGAUUGAACCCAGUGCCUCACACAUGCUAGGUGAGUGCUUCACCACUGAGCCACAACCCAGCUCCUAGGAUAUUGUUUUAAAAUGUACCUUGGAUUUAAUGUAUAGGUGUGACUGAGUGAUAACACAGAGAAGUCAGUACCAUUGAAAGUAUAUUCCUCACAAUUUCCUAGAAACAGGAGGCAUACCAUGUGUACAGGACCACAGGGAGUUUUCAGAAGGGAGGAGGAGCUAGAGGAAGACAUAUAAGUGAGAACCUUUUUUUACUAUAGUGAUGGGACAUUGUUAGGUGGUGACAUGUAUCCCUUAUUAGGCAAAAACCAAACACAGAUAUUGGGGUCUAUGGUUGGGGCUUUGUAAUAAGAUUUUAGCAUACCCUCCAAAACAUAGGAAUGGUUGAACAUCACCAACAUUGGCUGUUAUUUUAAUCCAUGCUUUCAAUAUGCCAAAUCAUCAAUUACAGACUAUCAAGAGUAUUAUUAUAGGUAUAUAUGUAUGUCUGUACAUUCAUGUGUAUAUAAACAUUUACAAAUAUCUUUAUCUGCCUGUAAACAUUUUAAAUGUUAAUAUUUUAUUCAGAAGACUUGUUUUAACACCUGUAAAACAUUCGUCUAUCCAUAUCCCUAUAAAUAUUGAAAGCAAUGAUUUUUCCAACACUGUAGGAUUUUUAAAAAAGUCUUUUUCUGUUUUUGUUACCUCCUUUUCUGACAUUGAAAAAUCUAGCUUUCAUCCUUUUUACUUUGUCCCUCUGUAGGUAACUGUCUCCUGACUAUAAGAGCCCUCCCCUUGUCCUCAAUCCCACUGAAUGUAUUGGUUAAACACUACUGAAGUUCCAUGAGCUGUUUUUUUAAAUUCAGUCUUCACUUCACAUGGUUCCAAUAUGCAGAAAUUUCCAUUACCAUGCUUUAAUUAAAUAGCACCAGUCCCCAAUAUUAGUAAAAUGUAAAAUAUAGCUUGUGAUCAGGAAGUUUCUCCAAAAUUUAAAAAAUUUACUCUUACCCUAUGGUAGCUGAUUAAUACAUCCUUAAACACUACUUAAACACUGUUCAAUUAGCUAACUUUUUUUUUUUUUAAGGAAAAUUACUGUCUUUGCACUGUUCUCAGCUGAACUUUACAUAGCUCUGCAUUUCCCUGUGUCAGUUCCUCUUGGAAUGGUGGGUGGGUAGCAGAAGGGAGGAUAUGUACAAUAAUGUAUUUUUAGUUCUUUUGAAAAGAAGCGUUACUUCAGCCAUUGCUAUUGAUGGCAGGAAGUAUAUUUAUAUCUCCAGAGAAGGGAAGGAGGGGUGGAAUGAGUCCUGGUUUAAGAAAACCUGAGAGGUUGUACUUCAUUUCAUUAAAAUUAAUUUGCACUUCAUUGUAAGUUCUUGCCUUAGAAAUGUAAUUAAGGGCUGGGGAUGUGGCUCAAGCGGUAGCGGGCUUGCCUGGCAUGCGUGUGGCCCGGGUUCAAUCCUCAGUACCACAUAUAAACAAAAGAUGUUGUGUCCUCCGAAAACUAAAAAAUAAAUAUUAAAAAAUUUUCUCUCUCUCUCUCUCUCUCUCUCUCACACACACACACACACACACACACAACUCUCUCUCUCUCUCUCUCUAAAAAAAAGAAAAGUAAUUAAAAUGAAUGGUAACUUAUUGUAUUUGGAAAACUCUUUCAUUUUGAAAUUUCAGAGUAUACAAUACCUGCAAUAAAGGGCCCUUUAGAGCAAAUAAGGAUGUACAUGAAAAAUUCAGGUGUUUGUUAGCAUGCAGUUGAACAGCAAAGAUAUUGAGGGAUACUAAAUGUUUACCCCAGUUAGACAUUAUUCAUUAAAGUCUUAUUAGUACAGCUUCUAUUGUGAUUCAUUUAAAGAAACCAAAGUAGUGCAUAUGAAUCAUAGGAUACUCUCAGUCACAGGAUAGUCAAUUUGAGAUUUUCCACUAAGCACAAUUUUAUCACAACUUUGAUUGGGACAGGACUUUUGCCCAUGAUUAUCAUAAGCAGUGGGCACAUUAAAUACAAGUUAAAUUAUUCUGAAGUUUUUUUAUUUUCUACUCCCUUUCUUAGUUGAGGGAAGCAAUGAAUUCGUUUCCAAGGAUACGCCUUCUCUCUUAGCCGGUCUCAGAUUGAUGCAGUCAUGGAAACAAGGCAGUAAACUCAUUCUUGGCAUCUGCCAGCCAUGGUCUGAUCCUUUUUUUAAAAGCAUGAGAUUCUUUAAUAAUACAUUUUGGGAAGGUUGCUGCCAAAUGAUUCCAAAUCAUACUAGAGGGGGGUUGGGAAUGUUGUUGAAUUGAUAUAAAUGAGUCAGGUGUUAAUAGGUUGCUAGGUAAGACUUUAAUGAUUUAACUAAAGUUGUUUGUCUAAAUAGGAAGAUCUAUAUUAGAACAACAAAUAUUUAGUCCUUUUUAAUAUUUAAAAACACUCCUAAUUAUAAUUUGAGGAUAUUAUUUUUUUUAAAAUGCCACAUGUUAUAGAUGUGCUGAGCUUUUAUUGAACACAAUGAAGAUUUUUAACUGGUUGGUUAAAGCCGAUCCACUAAUGAAAUGGAAUAUAAAAUUAUUUUGUGGAUUCUAAAGCUGGAAUGCUUAGGUUCAAAUCUCAUCUCUGUUACUUGUUUAGAAUGUAACCUUGGGCAAGUUACUUAACAUCUCUGUGCCUCAGUUUCCUCAUCUAUAAAAUAGGAUAUAAUAUUAGCAUUGGAUUGUGGUACAGAGUACAAGCUGCAUUAUGUAAAAACACACCUAAUUUAUAGGGAGCACUCAGCAAGUGUUGACUGCCAUUCACAAAUGAGAAGUGGAAUUACUCUGUACACCAAAUAAUAAGCUCUCUUUUAUCCUGUUUCCCCUCUAAAGAUUCAGUAUUAGGUUUCCAUAUCUUAGCAAGGAAUUUUUCAGGAUUGAUUGAUUAGCACAUGCUAGGUAUUCAAAUCACAAAGGGGAAUAAAAUACAUUCUUUUCCCUAAAAAAACUUCCUAUUUUGGAAGGUGUGAAUAAAGGAGAGCAAAGAAGAGAGGAUGACCUGUUGUUAUAAAACUUAAUUCAUUCUGUUAAGUGCUACACUAGUAGAAAAAUUAAAAAAAAAAACAGAGACAGAAGAGAACACAAAUUAAUAAAAAAUAUGUAAGAUGUAUGAAGAAAAUUCUAAAGUUUUAAUAAGAGAUUUUUAAAAAUACAAAUAUUAUAAAGGUAUUGUAUAGAUGUUAAUUCUCUCCAAAUCAUUCUGUAGAUUUAAUGCACGUUAAUUUGUAAGCCCUGGGUGGGGGGGUGAACGUUUUUGAGAACUUGACAAAUUGCCUGAACAGUUCCUUUAGAAGAAUAUAUCCAGCUGGGCAUGGUUGUACAUGCCUGUAAUCCCAGCGCAUUGGGUUGUGGUGGAGGAAGGAGGAUCAUGAGUUCAAAGCCAGCUUCAGCAACUUAGUGAGCCCCUGUCUCUAAAUAAACUGUAAAAAGGGGCUGGGGAGUUUGGCUCAGUGGUAAAGUGCCCUUGGCUUCAGUCCCUUGUACAGAAAAAAAGAAUACAUCCAACAGUUGAAAAUUUUCAGAAAUUUUGAAACAGAAGGAUAGUUGGUAGGCAAUAGAGGGGAGAAGUAUAUUUAACACUGGAUCCUCCAGAUAGCAAAAUAUAUUUGAAAGUUAGAUUUGGCAUUUGUUUAGAAUAAACAAAUAAAUAAUUGGAACAGAACAGAAAGUUCAGAAACAGACCUGGAUAUGUGUGUAUAUGUAAUUUACAUUCUCAACAGGAACAUGCAAGUGUUCCCAGGUGAAUGUAGCUUGAUAGAACACUUGCCUAACAUGCCUGGGGCUGGGACCCUGUAUUCAUCUCCAUUAACAUACACACAUGAGUUCCAGUUCUUCCACAUAUUUACCAACACUUGGUAUUGCCAGCCUUUUAGUUUUUAGCUAUUAUAAAGUGUGUAGUGCUAUCUCAUUCUGGUUUUAAUUUUCGGUUUUUUUCCUUUUUUUUUUUUUUUUUGCCCAGUACUGGGGAGCAGACCUAAGGCUUUGCAUGUGCUAGGCAAGGGUUUUACCACUGAGCCACACCCCCAUCCCUGAUUUGCAUUUUCUUAACGAUGUUUAUUGCGCACUGCAUUUGUUUGUUUGCUUUUUUUGAGUGUCUCUUUCAAUUUGCUCAUUCUUAUUGAGUUUUUGUUUGCUCAUUCUUGUUGAGUUUUUGUUUGUUUGUUUGUUUUGGUUUUGGCUCUAUCCCUCCCUCACCAUUUUUAUUUUUUAUUUUGAGACAGGGUCUCACUGAGUUACUUAGGGCCUCACUUAGUUGCUGGCAUUGAAUUUGCGAUCUGUCUCCCAAAUUGCUGGUGUGUGUCACUACUCCUUGCCGUUAAGUUGUUUUUGUUGCUUGAGUCUUAAGGGUUAUUUAUGUAUUAGGGAUGUAAUACAUUAAUCGUAUAUAUGUAUUACAAUUACAAAUCCAGCCUGUGUAUAGCCUUUUGUUGUUCCUGUUGUGCUGAGGAUUAAAUCCAGGGUUUUGUACAAGCUAGACAAGCACUGUGCCACUGGGCCACUUCCCCAGCUCCUUUUCUUUGUUCCUUUCUUCUUCUUUUUUUAAUGGUAUCUAAGAGAAAAAGGUCUGUUGUUCUUUUUUUUUUACCCCCCUAGGUACUAGGGAUUGAAUUCAGUGCCUUGUAUGUGGUAGGCAAGUGCUCUACCACUGAGCUCUAUCCCAGUCCUUUUUUCUUUUCUUUUUUUUUUUUUUUUUGAAACAGGAUCUCACUAAAUUGCCCAGGCUGGCCUUGAACCUGGGGUCCUUUUCCUCAGCCUUCUGAGUCAGCUAGGAUCACACAUGUGCACCUCUGCAUUUGGCAGAAGUUUGUAAUUUUGAUGAAGUUCAAAUUAUUGCAUGUAUUGAUGGUAUUAUGUGUUUUUUAAUUCAAAGUUUUUGUCUGUCUUUGUCAGGUACAAUGCUAAAGUGACCACAAGGCCAGCCCCUUGUAUAAUUUCUAUAAGUGUUGGUAGGACCUGUGAAUAUGACAGAAUUUUACUGCAAUUUUACCUGACAGAAGAAGUUUCAUUGACAUAAUCUACUAAACAAUUGACUUUGAUUUAAUUGAAAAGAAGAUUAUGUUGAGGGGUCUGACCUAAUCACAUAAAUCCUUUAAAUAUAGGUUCAAAGGUCAGAGUUAGAAGAAGUCAAAGAAUUUGAAGCAUAAGAAGAAUUUGACAAAAGGAAGAUUUUUCUUUGCUGACUUUGAAGUUUUAAGAGACCACUUGUCAAGGAUUGCAGGUGGCUCUAGAUGGU
RNAcentral lists this long non-coding RNA (35264 nucleotides) under Marmota monax (woodchuck). The stretch from base 9340 to 9411 matches the Rfam family "tRNA". Lineage: Eukaryota; Metazoa; Chordata; Mammalia; Rodentia; Sciuridae. The record is from RNAcentral.